AAGUCGUAACAAGGUAACCGUAGGUGAACCUGCGGUUGGAUCAUUACUAAAUCCAAUUUGUUGACGGGUCGCAAGACUCGAAGACAUUCACACCUUUGUGCAUCAAAUUUGUCGAGUUCGCGCGUGAGAGCGCGCGCGUCCUCUUCGCUUUUAAACACCUAUAUUUUGACUUAAAUCUUUUCUGUUUACAGAAAAAAGCUAAUGAGAAACAACUUUUGACAACGGAUCUCUUGGCUCUC
RNAcentral lists this unclassified non-coding RNA (239 nucleotides) under fungal sp. Its description in RNAcentral is "partial internal transcribed spacer region". The stretch from base 1 to 46 matches the Rfam family "Eukaryotic small subunit ribosomal RNA", at positions 1786 to 1831 of the family's 1831-position model. The record is from RNAcentral. Lineage: Eukaryota; Fungi.